RNAcentral lists this unclassified non-coding RNA (386 nucleotides) under Hevea brasiliensis (rubber tree). Lineage: Eukaryota; Viridiplantae; Streptophyta; Magnoliopsida; Malpighiales; Euphorbiaceae. The record is from RNAcentral.
AUUUGGACUCAGUUUUUUUCUGUUUCAUCAGAAUCAGUUUGUGGAGUGAUUCUCCGGGAUCUUGAAACGGAAACGAGGGAGCGAAGCUUUUCCUUGAUGAGCAAUAACCUGUUCUUUUCUAUCAAGUGUGAAUCCUGAUAAGCUUCACGGAGAAAAACUGAGUCUCGCUCCCCCUUCAAAGAGACAUAGAACAUAUCAGGAUGCCUUAUCAGCAUGCCUCUUAGCUGUUGUGAGAAUCUAAAUUCUUCCCUAAAAUGAGUAAGGUGAUCAACAAGAGUCCUUUUCUCGACUGUGAGGCUCAGAAGUUCAUGAACCACAGCACAUGCAUGUUUUUCUUUGUCCGGAGUACCAGGCCUUAUUUCAGAAAAAUCCUCAUAAGGAGAAAU